UAUCCUUUCUAGAGCACUGUCUUGAAGCUCUCACCUGCAGCCACAUUUGCUCUGAAAUAAACUUCCAAGCAUCAAGAUUUGUGCUGGGUAGCCGGAAAGAACUGAAACAACAGCCACAGCUAAAGCAGAGACUUCCUUAUUCAGUUUUAAUGGCUGCAAACUACAAACGCUUCCUUAUGAUCUAAGCUUUAUAAUUCUGAGAAAUAAAAGUAAAAGCAAUGACCUGAUGAAUGCA
Molecule: long non-coding RNA, 235 nt
Organism: Heteronotia binoei (common prickly gecko)
Lineage: Eukaryota; Metazoa; Chordata; Lepidosauria; Squamata; Gekkonidae
Exons: 2
Source: RefSeq, a predicted model, not a curated record